RNAcentral lists this long non-coding RNA (1795 nucleotides) under Anas platyrhynchos platyrhynchos (common mallard). RNAcentral describes it as "lncRNA (ENSAPLG00000017493.1)". Lineage: Eukaryota; Metazoa; Chordata; Aves; Anseriformes; Anatidae. The record is from RNAcentral.
CCUGAGGAGGGCGACAGUCUCCAUGGCGAUCUGCCAGAAUUCUGUGCGCAAGCUGUCCACGGGCUCCUUUUCCAUCAGCGCCUGCAGAGCACAAGCAGGAUGAGACCUUGGAGCCGCCGGCACCCAGCAGCAGCAGAGCCAGCGCUGCCCCAGCCCUCGCCUCCCAGGGGGCUGGUGCCGGGGGGCCUUGCCCCUUCCCCAACCCGCUGCACAUCCUCUCACCAUGAUGUGCUCCACCAGCCACAAAGACACCAACAGAGCAUUAGGGGGACACCCACGGCCAUCAGGACCAAAGCCUUGAGGGGUCUGGGGCUGUGUGGGACCCCUGGAGGGCAGCUCCAGGAGCACUGCUGCGAUGCAAGUAGCUGCCAUUACCUUUUCUUUCCGUCUGACAUAUGCCCUGAUAGAUUGCACAGCCGAGUUUCUGCGCAGUUUCCAUAUAUUACCUGGAAAGGACGAAAGCAAAGAGUGCUGCAGAGAGGGGCUGAAUGCAGGGGUGAGGAGAGGAAGGGCCCCAGCCCCAGAAGGACGUGGGGAGGCCGCGGGGAUGCCCAGAGGCUGCAGCAGCUCCGCUGGGAAGAGAGGCUGAGGGAGCUGGGCUUGUGGAGCCUGGAGAAGGCUGCGGGGGGACCUCGCUGCAGCCUCCCCGUGCCCAAAGGGGCUUCCAGGAAAGCUGGAGGGGGAUCUUCAUCAUGGACUGCAGUGACAGGACAAGGGGUGACAGCUUUAACCUCAAAGAGGGCAGGUUUCUUUUGGCCAGGCAGGGAUUUCUCUCCUUCACGCCCAGGGCAGUGAGGCCUUGGCGCAGGCUGCGGUGCCCCCUCCCUGGCACUGCCCACGGCCAGGCUGGGUGGGCUUUGGGCAGCAUGGGCUGGGGGGAAGCAUUGUGAUCGCCGAGGUCCCCCCCAGCCCAGAGCGUCCUGGGAUUCUGUGGUGCUGCGGAGGAAGCUCAGUCCCGUCAGCCCAAGCGCCACUUUACCCAGGAAAGGAGUCCUGGAGUCAAGCUGCGGUCUCUGUGUCCCCAACCCUCCCCACCCCAUCCCUAAGACUCACUGGAAUCCAGCAGCUGCGACUUCUUCUUGCUAUCCUGUGUCGAACCGCUGUCCUCAACCACUAAGCUGUCCUCUACCGGUCUCCUGUCCUGUGCCGGGCUGCUGCCCACUUCCUGAGAAAUGGCCUCUGCCAGGCUGCUGUCCUCUACCGGCAAAAUGGCCUUGACUGGGGUUUUGUCCUCUGCCAGCAAGCUGUCCUCUGCUGGCUGGUUGCUGCCCCUAGAAGACCAGGUCUCCUGCCAGGCCAGCCUGGGCUGCCUGGGGGGCAUGCCUCCCUCCUCAUCCCAUUCAGAAGCAGCCUCUGAAGUGGGAGAGCUCGCAAGGUUAAAAGGGCGGCUCGUCUGGGUGGGUGGUUGCGGCAUUGUGGGACUUGGACUGCGCUCAGGGUCUCCUUGAGGCUCCUGUGCUCCUUCCAUAUCCGUCGCUGCCGUGCACCGACACUGAGGGUCCGAGCCACGGCUGCGCUCUUAUAAGGCGGAGCCCUGGCGUGUCACCAAGUGACGUCACAAUGGGUGCCACUGUGGCACGUGCCUGGGCUGGGUGGGCACCCAUUGUGACGUCACUUCGUGACACCCCAGGGCUCCACCUUAUAAGAGCACAGCCAUGGCUCGGACGCUCAGUGUUGGUGCACGGCAGUGACGGACAGGGCAGGAGCACAGGGCCUUCGAGGAGUCCCCGAGCAUAGCCCACGUCCCACAAUGCCGCAACCGCCCGCCCAGAGGAGCCGCUAUUUUCUCUUUGAG